UGGUGGAGUGAUUUGUCUGGUUAAUUCCGUUAACGAACGAGACCUCAGCCUACUAAUUAGUUUGCCCAAUGUUUCAUUGGUGUAAACAUCUUAGAGGGACUAUCGGUUUAUAUCCGAAGGAAGUAUGAGGCAAUAACA
Molecule: ribosomal RNA, 138 nt
Filed under: uncultured eukaryote
Lineage: Eukaryota
Description: partial 18S ribosomal RNA
Rfam family: Eukaryotic small subunit ribosomal RNA
Source: RNAcentral